RNAcentral lists this ribosomal RNA (460 nucleotides) under uncultured bacterium. Its description in RNAcentral is "partial 16S ribosomal RNA". It matches the Rfam family "Bacterial small subunit ribosomal RNA", at positions 338 to 795 of the family's 1533-position model. The record is from RNAcentral.
CCUACGGGUGGCAGCAGUGAGGAAUAUUGGUCAAUGGGCGUAAGCCUGAACCAGCCAAGUCGCGUGAGGGAUGAAGGUUCUAUGGAUCGUAAACCUCUUUUAUAAGGGAAUAAAGUGUGGGACGUGUCCUGUUUUGUAUGUACCUUAUGAAUAAGGAUCGGCUAACUCCGUGCCAGCAGCCGCGGUAAUCCGGAGGAUCCGAGCGUUAUCCGGAUUUAUUGGGUUUAAAGGGUGCGUAGGCGGCAUUGUAAGUCUGCGGUGAAAGUCUGUGGCUCAACCAUAGAAUUGCCGUUGAAACUGGGAGGCUUGAGUGUGUUAGAGGCAGGCGGAAUGCGUGGUGUAGCGGUGAAAUGCUUAGAUAUCACGCAGAACACCGGUUGCGAAGGCGGCCUGCCAAGCCAUGACUGACGCUGAUGCACGAAAGCGUGGGGAUCAAACAGGAUUAGAUACCCUGGUAGUC